UUUUGCACAAUGGCCGCAAGGCUGACGCAGCAACGCCGCGUGGGUGAUGAAGGCCUUCGGGUCGUAAAGCCCUGUCGGGUGGGAAGAAUGUGCCCGGGGUGAACAAUCCCGGGCAGUGACGGUACCACCAGAGGAAGCACCGGCUAACUCCGUGCCAGCAGCCGCGGUAAUACGGAGGGUGCGAGCGUUAUUCGGAAUUACUGGGCGUAAAGCGCGUGCAGGCGGCUCGAGAAGUCUGAUGUGAAAGCCCCGGGCUUAACCCGGGAAGUGCAUUGGAAACUCUCGGGCUUGAGUGCUGGAGAGGAAGGGAGAAUUCCCGGUGUAGAGGUGAAAUUCGUAGAGAUCGGGAGGAACACCAGUGGCGAAGGCGCCCUUCUGGACAGCAACUGACGCUGAGACGCGAAAGCGUGGGGAGCAAACAGG
Molecule: ribosomal RNA, 423 nt
Filed under: uncultured bacterium
Lineage: Bacteria
Description: bacterial SSU rRNA
Rfam family: Bacterial small subunit ribosomal RNA
Source: RNAcentral